GAAAUCCAUUGCAUCACUGUUGAUAAUAGCCGAACUUUAGAAACCACCUAGACAUCCAUCCAGGGAGACUGAUUCCUUAAACAUGAUGGCGGGGCCCGAUGCAAGAGCAAGAGUCCAUGACAGAUACCUGCCCGCUUCCUCAAAGAGUGAAAAACAAUAAGCCUUCCUUGGUAUUUCCAGAGGGGCCCCUCCGAAAACACCCUGCUUGCAAACUCGCAGAAUCCACAGGAAACGCCACACUGUCUUCCAUGGGGGCUGCCCCGUUUUCCCUUCCCACCCUCGCGGCACAAGGUUCCAGUUUCUCCACGUCCUCACCAACCCUGAGAGACAGCCAGCGAGAGAGGGAACACAGCAGGGGAGUGGGAGAGGAAGAAGCAGGCUCC
Ailuropoda melanoleuca (giant panda) is the source of this 383-nucleotide long non-coding RNA. RefSeq lists it as uncharacterized. The record is from RefSeq and is a predicted model, not a curated record. The transcript is spliced from 3 exons. Lineage: Eukaryota; Metazoa; Chordata; Mammalia; Carnivora; Ursidae.